This 468-nucleotide ribosomal RNA is filed under the name uncultured bacterium. RNAcentral's name for it is "partial 16S ribosomal RNA". It matches the Rfam family "Bacterial small subunit ribosomal RNA", at positions 28 to 507 of the family's 1533-position model. The record is from RNAcentral.
GACGAACGCUGGCGGCGUGCUUAACACAUGCAAGUCGAACGGAAAGGCCCUGCUUUUGUGGGGUGCUCGAGUGGCGAACGGGUGAGUAACACGUGAGUAACCUGCCCUUGACUUUGGGAUAACUUCAGGAAACUGGGGCUAAUACCGGAUAGGAGCUCCUGCUGCAUGGUGGGGGUUGGAAAGUUUCGGCGGUUGGGGAUGGACUCGCGGCUUAUCAGCUUGUUGGUGGGGUAGUGGCUUACCAAGGCUUUGACGGGUAGCCGGCCUGCGAGGGUGACCGGCCACAUUGGGACUGAGGUACUGCCCAGACUCCUACGGGGGGCAGCAGUGGGGAAUAUUGCACAAUGGGCGGAAGCCUGAUGCAGCAACGCCGCGUGCGUGAUGACGGCCUUCGGGUUGUAAACCGCUUUCGCCUGUGACGAAGCGUGAUUGACGGUAAUUGGUAAAGAAGCACCGGCUAACUACGUG